RNAcentral lists this ribosomal RNA (497 nucleotides) under uncultured bacterium. RNAcentral describes it as "partial 16S ribosomal RNA". It matches the Rfam family "Bacterial small subunit ribosomal RNA", at positions 28 to 507 of the family's 1533-position model. The record is from RNAcentral.
GAUGAACGCUGGCGGCGUGCCUAAUACAUGCAAGUCGAACGCAUAGCGAAAGGUGCUUGCACCUUUCAAGUGGGUGGCGAACGGGUGAGUAACACGUGGACAACCUGCCUCAAGGCUGGGGAUAACAUUUGGAAACAGAUGCUAAUACCGAAUAAAACUUAGUGUCGCAUGACACAAAGUUAAAAGGCGCUUCGGCGUCACCUAGAGAUGGAUCCGCGGUGCAUUAGUUAGUUGGUGGGGUAAAGGCCUACCAAGACAAUGAUGCAUAGCCGAGUUGAGAGACUGAUCGGCCACAUUGGGACUGAGACACGGCCCAAACUCCUACGGGAGGCUGCAGUAGGGAAUCUUCCACAAUGGGCGAAAGCCUGAUGGAGCAACGCCGCGUGUGUGAUGAAGGCUUUCGGGUCGUAAAGCACUGUUGUAUGGGAAGAACAGCUAGAAUAGGAAAUGAUUUUAGUUUGACGGUACCAUACCAGAAAGGGACGGCUAAAUACGUG